GACGAACGCUGGCGGCGUGCUUAACACAUGCCAGUCGAACGGAAAGGCCCUGCUUUUGUGGGGUGCUCGAGUGGCGAACGGGUGAGUAACACGUGAGUAACCUGCCCUUGACUUUGGGAUAACUUCAGGAAACUGGGGCUAAUACCGGAUAGGAGCUCCUGCUGCAUGGUGGGGGUUGGAAAGUUUCGGCGGUUGGGGAUGGACUCGCGGCUUAUCAGCUUGUUGGUGGGGUAGUGGCUUACCAAGGCUUUGCCGGGUAGCCGGCCUGGGAGGGUGACCGGCGACAUUGGGACUGCGAUACGGCCCAGACGCGAAUGGGAGGCAACGGUGGGGAAGAUUGUACAGUGGGCGGGAGCCUGAUGCAGCAACGCCGCGUGCGGGAUGACGGCCUUCGGGUUGUAAACCGCUUUCGCCUGUGACGAAGCGUGAGUGACGGUAAUGGGUAAAGAAGCACCGGCUAACUACGUG
Molecule: ribosomal RNA, 468 nt
Filed under: uncultured bacterium
Lineage: Bacteria
Description: partial 16S ribosomal RNA
Rfam family: Bacterial small subunit ribosomal RNA
Source: RNAcentral